This 72-nucleotide transfer RNA is filed under the name Armatimonadota bacterium. It matches the Rfam family "tRNA". Rfam says of the family: Transfer RNA (tRNA) molecules are approximately 80 nucleotides in length. Their secondary structure includes four short double-helical elements and three loops (D, anti-codon, and T loops). Further hydrogen bonds mediate the characteristic L-shaped molecular structure. tRNAs have two regions of fundamental functional importance: the anti-codon, which is responsible for specific mRNA codon recognition, and the 3' end, to which the tRNAs corresponding amino acid is attached (by aminoacyl-tRNA synthetases). tRNAs cope with the degeneracy of the genetic code in two manners: having more than one tRNA (with a specific anti-codon) for a particular amino acid; and 'wobble' base-pairing, i.e. permitting non-standard base-pairing at the 3rd anti-codon position. Lineage: Bacteria; Bacillati; Armatimonadota. The record is from Rfam by way of RNAcentral.
AGGGGUGUGGCGCAAUGGUAGCGCAGAGCUCUCCAAAGGCUAAGGCUGCAGGUUCGAGUCCUGUCACCCCUG